GUCGAGCGGAUGAGAGGAGCUUGCUCUUCGAUUCAGCGGCGGACGGGUGAGUAAUGCCUAGGAAUCUGCCUAGUAGUGGGGGACAACGUUUCGAAAGGAACGCUAAUACCGCAUACGUCCUACGGGAGAAAGUGGGGGAUCUUCGGACCUCACGCUAUUAGAUGAGCCUAGGUCGGAUUAGCUAGUUGGUAGGGUAAAGGCCUACCAAGGCGACGAUCCGUAACUGGUCUGAGAGGAUGAUCAGUCACACUGGAACUGAGACACGGUCCAGACUCCUACGGGAGGCAGCAGUGGGGAAUAUUGGACAAUGGGCGAAAGCCUGAUCCAGCCAUGCCGCGUGUGUGAAGAAGGCCUUCGGGUCGUAAAGCACUUUAAGUUGGGAGGAAGGGCUUACAGCGAAUACCUGUGAGUUUUGACGUUACCGACAGAAUAAGCACCGGCUAACUUCGUGCCAGCAGCCGCGGUAAUACGAAGGGUGCAAGCGUUAAUCGGAAUUACUGGGCGUAAAGCGCGCGUAGGUGGCUUGAU
Molecule: ribosomal RNA, 528 nt
Filed under: Pseudomonas sp.
Lineage: Bacteria; Pseudomonadati; Pseudomonadota; Gammaproteobacteria; Pseudomonadales; Pseudomonadaceae
Description: bacterial SSU rRNA
Rfam family: Bacterial small subunit ribosomal RNA
Source: RNAcentral